Molecule: long non-coding RNA, 1131 nt
Filed under: Homo sapiens (human)
Lineage: Eukaryota; Metazoa; Chordata; Mammalia; Primates; Hominidae
Description: HSALNT0272499
Source: RNAcentral
GGACCUUUGAAGAAUCCUCUCAACUUAUGGAUACUAAUCCAUCAGCUGCAAAUAGCCACACAAAUGUUCACCACAUGCAUAUACAGGACUAUGAAGCUUUGUACGAUAUGGAGUUGUAUUAGGGAGAUCAUAUAACCAAAUCCAUAGUUGCCCGCAGAUCACAGUGACUCCAUGGUGAACCUUGUGUCUUGUUGUCUUUUGUUUUUUGUUUUUUGGGUUUAUUUGCCUGGGAUCUGAGAUCUGACCAGCACGUUCAUAUUGUUAGUUUCCAGAACUCAUAAAUCCCUAAGAUUUGUUUGGCAAACUAGAUGUUGUCAGAAUACUUAGGGUGAGAUACAAUAACAAUUUAAAUGAUAAACAAAAACAAACAGAAAAGAAUUCAUCCUAACUUACCCAGGACCAAUUUCUUGCUGUUUUUUUCCCCAGCUAUUUUUAAAUAAUCAAAUCACUGUAGUAGCUAUGGCAUUUUAGAGAUUGCAAGGUCUGUGAGUCAUAUCCUUAUUUACAGGAAUGAUGGGAGAAAGUCAGCUUGUUCAGCAUUUACUCCAUUUAUGAGAAAUGUACAGGCAAAUAAGAAGCUGGGGAAACGCUGUUUCGUGUAUCAUUUCACCGUGUCCUACAAUCUCUUUCUCUUUCCCUUUUCAGGACUCAGACCUGGGAGAACAGCCACUGCCCAGACACGUUCAGCGACAGAUAAAACAGUAUAACAUUUUGCAAAGGCAAAUUCCUCCUCUUCUGCUGUAGAAAAACUUGGUUUCUUCUUCAUACACACUGAGUCCUUCUGCUCAUAAUGCUGGUCCUAAACACCUUAAUCCAAAAGCAGCCAAUAAAAAGUUUUUAAAAGUCCAACUCCUUAGGGAAAAACUUUGUUUUCCAGUUUGUGUGACUCAGGUCAUCAGCUCACGGUCAUUGUCAGAGCCCCAGUCAUCUACGUGUGUCAGCACCGCCCCUUUUAUCUCUCUGUCUUCAGUACUGCCUGAGAAGUACACACAAAGGACUGAACAGAGACAUUUUCAAAGUUUCAGAGAAAAAUGAAAGGAUAUGAUUUUAACACUGGAACCGAAUACUCUCUUAAGCAUAAAUUUUUCUUCUAGGGAGCAUUUGUUUGUAAUUAUGAGAAAUUAAGGAAUA